GCGGCGGUAGCUCAAUGAUAGAGCCCCCCCGUUCACAUGCGGGGAUAUCUGGGUUCGAUUCCCGGCUGCUUCU
RNAcentral lists this transfer RNA (73 nucleotides) under Toxocara canis (dog roundworm). It matches the Rfam family "tRNA". From Rfam's summary of the family: Transfer RNA (tRNA) molecules are approximately 80 nucleotides in length. Their secondary structure includes four short double-helical elements and three loops (D, anti-codon, and T loops). Lineage: Eukaryota; Metazoa; Nematoda; Chromadorea; Rhabditida; Toxocaridae. The record is from Rfam by way of RNAcentral.